This 466-nucleotide ribosomal RNA is filed under the name uncultured bacterium. RNAcentral's name for it is "partial 16S ribosomal RNA". It matches the Rfam family "Bacterial small subunit ribosomal RNA", at positions 28 to 507 of the family's 1533-position model. The record is from RNAcentral.
GACGAACGCUGGCGGCGUGCUUAACACAUGCAAGUCGAACGGAAAGGCCCUGCUUGCAGGGUACUCGAGUGGCGAACGGGUGAGUAACACGUGGGUGAUCUGCCCUGCACUUCGGGAUAAGCUUGGGAAACUGGGUCUAAUACCGGAUAGGAACCAUCUUUAGUGUGGUGGUUGGAAAGUUUUUUCGGUGUAGGAUGAGCUCGCGGCCUAUCAGCUUGUUGGUGGGGUAAUGGCCUACCAAGGCGGCGACGGGUAGCCGGCCUGAGAGGGUGUACGGCCACAUUGGGACUGAGAUACGGACCAGACUCCUACGGGAGGCAGCAGUGGGGAAUAUUGCACAAUGGGCGCAAGCCUGAUGCAGCGACGCCGCGUGGGGGAUGAAGGCCUUCGGGUUGUAAACUCCUUUCGCUAGGGACGAAGCUUUGUUGUGACGGUACCUAGAUAAGAAGCACCGGCUAACUACGUG